GUAACACUAACUGGAGGACCGAACCGACUAAUGUUGAAAAAUUAGCGGAUGACUUGUGGCUGGGGGUGAAAGGCCAAUCAAACCGGGAGAUAGCUGGUUCUCCCCGAAAGCUAUUUAGGUAGCGCCUCGUGAAUUCAUCUCCGGGGGUAGAGCACUGUUUCGGCAAGGGGGUCAUCCCGACUUACCAACCCGAUGCAAACUGCGAAUACCGGAGAAUGUUAUCACGGGAGACACACGGCGGGUGCUAACGUCCGUCGUGAAGAGGGAAACAACCCAGACCGCCAGCUAAGGUCCCAAAGUCAUGGUUAAGUGGGAAACGAUGUGGGAAGGCCCAGACAGCCAGGAUGUUGGCUUAGAAGCAGCCAUCAUUUAAAGAAAGCGUAAUAGCUCACUGGUCGAGUCGGCCUGCGCGGAAGAUGUAACGGGGCUAAACCAUGCACCGAAGCUGCGGCAGCGACACUAUGUGUUGUUGGGUAGGGGAGCGUUCUGUAAGCCUGUGAAGGUGUGCUGUGAGGUAUGCUGGAGGUAUCAGAAGUGCGAAUGCUGACAUAAGUAACGAUAAAGCGGGUGAAAAGCCCGCUCGCCGGAAGACCAAGGGUUCCUGUCCAACGUUAAUCGGGGCAGGGUGAGUCGACCCCUAAGGCGAGGCCGAAAGGCGUAGUCGAUGGGAAACAGGUUAAUAUUCCUGUACUUGGUGUUACUGCGAAGGGGGGACGGAGAAGGCUAUGUUGGCCGGGCGACGGUUGUCCCGGUUUAAGCGUGUAGGCUGGUUUUCCAGGCAAAUCCGGAAAAUCAAGGCUGAGGCGUGAUGACGAGGCACUACGGUGCUGAAGCAACAAAUGCCCUGCUUCCAGGAAAAGCCUCUAAGCAUCAGGUAACAUCAAAUCGUACCCCAAACCGACACAGGUGGUCAGGUAGAGAAUACCAAGGCGCUUGAGAGAACUCGGGUGAAGGAACUAGGCAAAAUGGUGCCGUAACUUCGGGAGAAGGCACGC
This 995-nucleotide ribosomal RNA is filed under the name Escherichia coli. RNAcentral describes it as "partial 23S ribosomal RNA". It matches the Rfam family "Bacterial large subunit ribosomal RNA", at positions 756 to 1751 of the family's 2925-position model. Lineage: Bacteria; Pseudomonadati; Pseudomonadota; Gammaproteobacteria; Enterobacterales; Enterobacteriaceae. The record is from RNAcentral.